CCUACGGGUGGCACCAGUAGGGAAUCUUCGGCAAUGGACGAAAGUCUGACCGAGCAACGCCGCGUGAGUGAAGAAGGUUUUCGGAUUGUAAAACUCUGUUGUUAGAGAAGAACGAGUAGGAGAGUAACAGCUCUUACCUUGACGGUAUCUAACCAGAAAGCCACGGCUAACUACGUGCCAGCAUCCGCGGUAAUACGUAGGUGGCAAGCGUUGUCCGGAUUUAUUGGGCGUAAAGCGAGCGCAGGCGGUCUUUUAAGUCUGAUGUGAAAGCCCUCGGCUCAACCGAGGAAGGUCAUUGGAAACUGGAGGACUUGAGUGCAGAAGAGGAGAGUGGAAUUCCAUGUGUAGCGGUGAAAUGCGUAGAUAUAUGGAGGAACACCAGUGGCGAAGGCGACUCUCUGGUCUGUAACUGACGCUGAGGCUCGAAAGCGUGGGGAGCAAACAGGAUUAGAUACCCUCGUAGUC
This 465-nucleotide ribosomal RNA is filed under the name uncultured bacterium. RNAcentral describes it as "bacterial SSU rRNA". It matches the Rfam family "Bacterial small subunit ribosomal RNA", at positions 338 to 795 of the family's 1533-position model. The record is from RNAcentral.